ACUGCUCAGUAACACGUGGACAACCUACCCUCAGAUCUGGGAUAAACCUGGGAAACUGGGUAUAAUACCGGAUAGGUCUUGGAUGCUGGAAUGCACCGAGGCCCAAAGCUCCGGCGUCUGAGGAUGGGUCUGCGGCCUAUCAGGGUAGUAGUGGGUGUAAAGUACCUACUAGCCUACGACGGGUACGGGUCGUGAGAGCGAGAGCCCGGAGAUGGAUUCUGAGACACGAAUCCAGGCCCUACGGGGUGCCGCAGGCGCGAAAACUUUACAAUGCCGGCAACGGCGAUAAGGGGACCUCGAGUGCCAGGAUACAAUCCUGGCUGUCGUAAUGCCUAAAAAGCAUUAUAUAGCAAGGGCCGGGCAAGACCGGUGCCAGCCGCCGCGGUAACACCGGCGGCUCGAGUGGUAACCGCUAUUAUUGGGUCUAAAGGGUCUGUAGCCGGCCUGGUAAGUCUUUUGGGAAAUCCGGCAGCUCAGCUGUCGGGCUAUCAGAGGAUACUGCUAGGCUCGAGACCGGGAGAGGUGAGAGGUACUUCAUGGGUAGGGGUGAAAUCUUGUAAUCCUUGAAGGACCACCAGUGGCGAAGGCGUCUCACCAGAACGGAUCUGACGGCAAGGGACGAAAGCUAGGGGCACGAACCGGAUUAGAUACCCGGGUAGUCCUAGCCGUAAACGAUACUCGCUAGGUGUCGGCCACGGUGCGACCGUGGUCGGUGCCGUAGGGAAGCCGUGAAGCGAGCCACCUGGGAAGUACGGCCGCAAGGCUGAAACUUAAAGGAAUUGGCGGGGGAGCAC
RNAcentral lists this ribosomal RNA (794 nucleotides) under uncultured archaeon. RNAcentral's name for it is "bacterial SSU rRNA". It matches the Rfam family "Archaeal small subunit ribosomal RNA", at positions 85 to 879 of the family's 1478-position model. The record is from RNAcentral.